This 818-nucleotide ribosomal RNA is filed under the name uncultured bacterium. Its description in RNAcentral is "bacterial SSU rRNA". It matches the Rfam family "Bacterial small subunit ribosomal RNA", at positions 9 to 822 of the family's 1533-position model. The record is from RNAcentral.
GAGUUUGAUCAUGGCUCAGGAUGAACGCUAGCGGCAAGCCUAACACAUGCAAGUCGAACGGUAACUUUUGGUGCUUGCACCGAAAGACGAGUGGCGAACGGGUGAGUAACGCGUAUGCAAUCUGCCUUUUACUAGGGUAUAGCCCAGAGAAAUUUGGAUUAAUCCCCUAUAAUAUCAUUUAAUCGCAUGAUUUUAUGAUUAAAGCUUCGGCGGUAAAAGAUGAGCAUGCGUCCUAUUAGUUAGUAGGUGAGGUAACGGCUCACCUAGACUCCGAUAGGUAGGGGUCCUGAGAGGGAGAUCCCCCACACUGGUACUGAGACACGGACCAGACUCCUACGGGAGGCAGCAGUGAGGAAUAUUGGACAAUGGACGAAAGUCUGAUCCAGCUAUGCCGCGUGCAGGAUGACGGCCCUAUGGGUUGUAAACUGCUUUUAUACAGGAAGAAAAACUCCGACGUGUCGGAACUUGACGGUACUGUAAGGAUAAGGAUCGGCUAACUCCGUGCCAGCAGCCGCGGUAAUACGGAGGAUCCAAGCGUUAUCCGGAAUCAUUGGGUUUAAAGGGUCCGUAGGCGGUUUUUUAAGUCAGAGGUGGAAUCCUGCAGCUCAACUGUAGAAUUGCCUUUGAUACUGAAAGACUUGAGUUAUUGUGAAGUGGUUAGAAUGUGUGGUGUAGCGGUGAAACGCAUAGAUAUCAUACAGAAUACCAAUUGCGAAGGCAGAUCACUAACAAUAUACUGACGCUCAGGGACGAAAGCGUGGGUAGCGAACAGGAUUAGAUACCCUGUAGUCCACGCCGUAAACGAUGGAUACUAGCUG